Molecule: ribosomal RNA, 249 nt
Filed under: Salmonella enterica
Lineage: Bacteria; Pseudomonadati; Pseudomonadota; Gammaproteobacteria; Enterobacterales; Enterobacteriaceae
Description: partial 16S ribosomal RNA
Rfam family: Bacterial small subunit ribosomal RNA
Source: RNAcentral
AAAUUGAAGAGUUUGAUCAUGGCUCAGAUUGAACGCUGGCGGCAGGCCUAACACAUGCAAGUCGAACGGUAACAGGAAGCAGCUUGCUGCUUCGCUGACGAGUGGCGGACGGGUGAGUAAUGUCUGGGAAACUGCCUGAUGGAGGGGGAUAACUACUGGAAACAGUGGCUAAUACCGCAUAACGUCGCAAGACCAAAGAGGGGGACCUUCGGGCCUCUUGCCAUCAGAUGUGCCCAGAUGGGAUUAGCU